Molecule: ribosomal RNA, 326 nt
Filed under: uncultured bacterium
Lineage: Bacteria
Description: bacterial SSU rRNA
Rfam family: Bacterial small subunit ribosomal RNA
Source: RNAcentral
UCCGUAGGCGGGCUAAUAAGUCAGUGGUGAAAUCUCCCGGCUCAACCGGGAAAUGGCCAUUGAUACUGUUAGUCUUGAAUUAUUAGGAAGUAACUAGAAUAUGUAGUGUAGCGGUGAAAUGCUUAGAGAUUACAUGGAAUACCAAUUGCGAAGGCAGGUUACUACUAAUGGAUUGACGCUGAUGGACGAAAGCGUGGGUAGCGAACAGGAUUAGAUACCCUGGUAGUCCACGCCGUAAACGAUGGAUACUAGCUGUUGGGAGCAAUCUCAGUGGCUAAGCGAAAGUGAUAAGUAUCCCACCUGGGGAGUACGUUCGCAAGAAUGAA